Molecule: ribosomal RNA, 434 nt
Filed under: uncultured bacterium
Lineage: Bacteria
Description: partial 16S ribosomal RNA
Rfam family: Bacterial small subunit ribosomal RNA
Source: RNAcentral
AGCGAACGCUGGCGGCAGGCCUAACACAUGCAAGUCGAACGAACCUUUCGGGGUUAGUGGCGGACGGGUGAGUAACACGUGGGAACGUGCCUUUAGGUUCGGAAUAACUCAGGGAAACUUGUGCUAAUACCGAAUGUGCCCUUCGGGGGAAAGAUUUAUCGCCUUUAGAGCGGCCCGCGUCUGAUUAGCUAGUUGGUUGAGGUAAUGGCUCACCAAGGCGACGAUCAGCAGCUGGUCUGAGAGGAUGAUCAGCCACAUUGGGACUGAGACACGGCCCAAACUCCUACGGGAGGCAGCAGUGGGGAAUCUUGCGCAAUGGGCGAAAGCCUGACGCAGCCAUGCCGCGUGAAUGAUGAAGGUCUUAGGAUUGUAAAAUUCUUUCACCGGGGACGAUAAUGACGGUACCCGGAGAAGAAGCCCCGGCUAACUUCGUG